UGUUUUUUUUCUGUAAGCAUAUGUUUGCAAAGACACGUGAAACUUGAUAUAUGGCUUUAGCCUUUUUGCGAAAGAAAAGAAAGGGGCCAGAAAAAUCAUAGUUGAUUUUGAUGGUCAUCUCAUUGCAAUCCACAACUCCCUUUCGCCUUCAACCUCUAGCCGCUCCGACCAGUAUACCAUGCAAUCUUAUGUGCCACCUCGCCAACCCGCCUCAACCAACUGUCACACACCGUUGGUCUCUGUCACCCACCAUCUAACUGUGUUGAGUCCCGACCAUUUUCUCCCUCGCCACCUAAACCUAACUCUUGAAUUGCAAAGUUUUCUCCUCUCCCUGCAUCGGCGUCACCUUCUAAAACCACACGAUAAUCUCCACUAAAAUAAUUCCAAGCCGACCCCUACCACUUUAUUUUCGGGGAAAGAAAUCUCUUGCAAAGCAAUCAACGGAAGUCAAAUAAUUGCCAACAUAAAAAAAACUCUUUCAAGCAAACAAAAAAGUACCGACUCACGUUGUUGUACGAACACAAUCUCAAUCACAUCAUGUUUUUUCCUUAUCUUUGCCGAUGGAUUCCUUCCCCGUAGCAUAUGUCAAUCUCAACCCAAUAAAAAGAAACCUACAUUGAACCAGUAGAACAAAUUUGCCACUGUUACAACGCACGGGUAUUUAGCUAGUACUAUGAACUAGUUUUGAGUGGCACACACACAUAGUCGCACGAUAUCCACAAAUUCGACCCUCUAUUCCACGACUCAACACUCCACUGAGCACUUUCAUUCUGAUGUAGUCCUUCUGUACACGUUCCUUAUUACAGGCUAGAGGAGUCUACAUCAUUGAGUAUCUCCGAGUGGAAUAAAAGUGCAAGAGAGUCCUAAAGAGAAUUUUCUAUGUGUAGAUAACAUUCUUUUUCUCGCAAUAUGACAUUGUACUACGUGCCCCCAUAAUUUAUAACAUAAAGCCUUUACCUUCAUAAUUCUUUGUUCUUAUGCUACAAAGCAACAGCAAAAACGACAAAUUUGACCUGUGGACAAAAAGAAUUCACAAAGUGAACUGUCUUUGAAAAAAUUUCAUUCCGAUGACCCUUUUAUGUAGCGCCCGACAGUUAGGCGCCAUACUACACUGUGUAAUGCCUGACUGACAGGCGCUACACAUCUGGCCAGCGUCGCACUCCGGGAUAUUUAAAAAUUGCUAAGUCAGUGUGCAACGCCUAAGAAUUAGGCGCUACAUGCUACACUAUACAGUGUAGCGCUUAGACCAUAGGCGCUGCACUACUUGCAUGUAUGCAGCGGUGCAUAGUGUGUAACGUAGAUAGAUGAAUUAGAAUAAGAUUAUGUAGCAAACGCACGAUACACACAAAUUCGACCCUCUAUUCCGUGACUCAACACUCCACUGAGCACUUCGAUUCAAAUCUAGUCCUUCUAUACGCAUUACGACACUUUCCUUAUUACAAGCUAGAGGAGUCUACAUCAUUGAGUAUCUCGGAGUGGAAUAAAAGUGCAAGAGAGUCCUAAAGAGAAUUUUCUAUGUGUAGAUAACAUUCUUUUUCUCGCAAUAUGACAUUGUGGUAUGUGCCCCCAUAAUUUAUAACAUAAAGCCUUUACCUCCAAAAUUCUUAGUUCUUUCGCUACAAACCAUCCUUCUCAUAUCAGAUGUGCACAUUGCAUUGUUUUUUCCCUUGUCUUGAGCGUACAAAAAUAUCAGGCUUGCGGACCUUUUAGAUUUUUAUUUCCAUACGAAACAUGCGCCUCCAUGUUUGAGUAUCAAGGCUUCUUUGAUUUGAAGUGGUUUUAGACUCCUUUGUUCAUGAAAGAAAUGGGCAUGGUGUGGAUUAUGACUUCAUUUGGCAUGGCGUUGUCAAGUGCUUGGUGGGUAUGGGUAUCAAGCAGCAACACAUGAGAAAACAACAACAGCAACAACAAUUAUCAUGUGCAAAUGAGAAAACAAGAGGAUGAAGAAAAUAGCAUAGAAAGGUAAAACUGCAUUUCUAUAACCCCAUAGAAUCGAACCAUAGUACAAACCAUACUCACCAAAACAGCAUUCUCAACCUCAGUCAGGACAAAACCAUGCUCACAAAAACUGCAUUCUCAGCUCCUGUAAGGACAGAAAACUCCCGCCCCGCUGCAGCACUACAAAUCGACCAACCCACAUACAAAAAACUCAUAAGAAUUGCAAUGAUAUAGAGUUCCUAUGUGGUCUAUUUGGAGAGAUUUUAUUAAUUAUUUGAUCAACACCUUAUCCCCCACCCCACCCCCCAAUGGUUUACUGUUCUUACUUACCCCCUCUUCAUUCAUGUGCAUAAAAUUGAUCAACAUAUGGAACCGUGAAACAGGCAGAGUCAUGCUAGAAUGACCUCCACUUUACUGGACAAAUUACAGGUCACAUUAUGUCUCUUCCUUCUAACUUUACAUAGUAUAUAUCUUUUACAGAAAAGCCUUGAACGUAUGAUUGGGAUCCUAGGUACUCACAUUGAUCACACAAGCAAGUCUCAGGUGUUCUGUAAAGAAAUUCUUCAUGUGACCAUGUUGACAACAACAUGCUAGGGCGACACAAUUCCGGGCGCAACACAG
RNAcentral lists this long non-coding RNA (2559 nucleotides) under Triticum aestivum (bread wheat). Its description in RNAcentral is "long non-coding RNA (TAES_LNC000860)". Lineage: Eukaryota; Viridiplantae; Streptophyta; Magnoliopsida; Poales; Poaceae. The record is from RNAcentral.